AGCGCCCAAGCCGGAGCCAGAGACGCGGAGCCCGCGCGAGCGUCGGAGACAGGGCUCCAGGGCUCCGAAGCGACAGAGCCGGGCCCCGGCCGCUGCCAGGGGCCCCGCCCGGCCCCCCCACUCCACCCCACGUCCCUCCUGCAGCCCAGCUCCGCCCGCAGCCGCCGCGGACCAGGCAGGCCCGCACCGCCGCCAUGAUGUGCGAGGUGAUGCCCACCAUCAGCGAGGAUGGCCGGCGGGGCUCGGCGCUGGGCCCGGACGAGGCGGGCGGGGAGCUGGAGCGCCUCAUGGUCACGAUGCUCACGGAGCGCGAGCGCCUGCUGGAGACGCUGCGCGAGGCACAGGACGGGUUGGCUACAGCGCAGCUGCGGCUGCGCGAGCUCGGCCACGAGAAGGACUCGCUGCAGCGCCAGCUCAGCAUCGCGCUGCCCCAGGAGUUUGCAGCUCUGACGAAGGAGCUGAACUUAUGUCGGGAGCAGCUGCUGGAGAGGGAGGAAGAGAUUGCAGAGCUGAAGGCGGAACGGAACAACACGCGGCUGCUCCUGGAACACCUGGAGUGCCUGGUGUCCAGGCACGAGAGGUCACUGCGCAUGACCGUGGUGAAGCGCCAGGCCCAGUCCCCGGGUGGGGUCUCCUCGGAGGUAGAAGUGCUCAAAGCUCUAAAGUCUCUCUUCGAGCACCACAAGGCCCUGGAUGAGAAGGUCCGGGAGCGGCUGCGGAUGGCGCUGGAGCGCGUGGCAGUGCUCGAGGAGGAGCUGGAACUGAGCAAUCAGGAGACUCUGAACCUUCGAGAACAGCUGUCUAGGCGGCGGUCAGGGCUGGAAGAGCCGGGCAAGGAUGGGGAUGGGCAGACUCUUGCCAAUGGCCUGGGUCCUGGCGGGGAUUCCAACCGGCGCACAGCAGAGCUGGAGGAGGCCCUGGAGCGGCAGCGCGCCGAGGUGUGCCAGCUGCGGGAGCGCCUGGCGGUGCUGUGCCGUCAGAUGAGCCAGCUGGAGGAGGAGUUGGGCACCGCGCACCGUGAGCUGGGCAAGGCAGAGGAAGCCAACUCCAAGCUGCAGCGCGACCUCAAGGAGGCGCUGGCGCAGCGGGAAGAUAUGGAGGAGCGGAUUACAACACUGGAGAAGCGCUACCUGAGCGCCCAGCGGGAGGCCACGUCUCUGCACGACGCCAACGACAAACUGGAGAACGAGUUAGCUAGCAAGGAGUCGUUGUAUCGGCAGAGUGAAGAGAAGAGCCGUCAGCUGGCCGAGUGGUUGGACGACGCCAAGCAGAAGCUGCAGCAGACGCUGCAGAAAGCGGAGACCUUGCCCGAGAUAGAGGCGCAGCUGGCGCAGCGCGUGGCGGCGCUCAACAAGGCCGAGGAACGUCAUGGGAAUUUUGAGGAGCGGCUUCGGCAGCUGGAGGCCCAGCUGGAAGAGAAGAAUCAAGAGCUGCAGCGGGCCCGGCAGCGGGAGAAGAUGAACGAUGACCACAAUAAGCGGCUGUCCGAGACGGUGGACAAGCUGCUGAGCGAGUCCAACGAGCGCUUACAGCUUCACCUCAAGGAGCGCAUGGGGGCGCUGGAGGAGAAGAACUCCCUGAGCGAGGAGAUAGCCAACAUGAAGAAGCUUCAGGAUGAGUUGCUGCUAAACAAGGAGCAGCUCUUGGCCGAAAUGGAGCGGAUGCAGAUGGAGAUCGACCAGCUGCGGGGGAGGCCACCAUCCUCCUACUCCAGGUCUCUCCCUGGCAGUGCCCUGGAGCUCCGUUACUCUCAGGCACCCACUUUACCUUCUGGUGCCCACCUGGAUCCCUAUGUGGCUGGCAGUGGUCGGGCAGGCAAGAGGGGCCGCUGGUCAGGGGUCAAGGAGGAGCCCUCCAAGGAUUGGGAGCGGUCUGCCCCUGCGGGCUCCAUACCACCCCCAUUCCCUGGGGAACUGGACGGCUCCGAUGAGGAGGAGGCAGAGGGGAUGUUUGGGGCCGAGCUGCUGUCCCCCAGUGGGCAGGCUGACGUGCAGACGCUGGCCAUCAUGCUUCAGGAGCAGCUGGAGGCCAUCAACAAGGAGAUCAAGCUGAUCCAAGAGGAGAAGGAGACAACAGAACAGAGGGCAGAGGAGCUGGAGAGUCGGGUGUCCAGCUCUGGCUUGGACUCGUUGGGCCGCUACCGCAGCAGCUGCUCCCUGCCCCCCUCCCUCACCACCUCUACCCUUGCCAGCCCCUCCCCUCCCAGCUCUGGCCACUCAACACCCCGCCUGGCACCCCCUAGCCCUGCCCGUGAGGGCACCGACAAGGCUAAUCAUGUCCCUAAGGAGGAAGCUGGAGCUCCACGAGGGGAGGGGCCGGCCAUCCCAGGAGACACCCCACCACCCACUCCCCGCUCUGCCCGUCUUGAGAGAAUGACCCAGGCCUUGGCACUGCAGGCGGGGUCCCUGGAAGAUGGGGGACCCCCACGGGGAAGUGAGGGCACCCCAGAUUCUCUGCACAAAGCCCCCAAGAAGAAGAGCAUCAAGUCAUCCAUAGGCCGUCUCUUUGGCAAGAAAGAGAAGGGACGAAUGGGACCCCCAGGCCGGGACAGCUCUUCUCUGGCUGGAACACCCUCAGAUGAGACACUGGCCACUGACCCUCUGGGGCUAGCCAAGCUGACAGGCCCAGGAGACAAGGACCGAAGGAACAAGAGGAAGCAUGAACUCCUGGAGGAGGCCUGCCGCCAGGGCCUACCUUUUGCUGCCUGGGACGGGCCCACCGUGGUGUCCUGGCUGGAGCUGUGGGUGGGCAUGCCUGCCUGGUAUGUGGCCGCCUGCCGGGCCAAUGUCAAGAGCGGUGCCAUCAUGGCCAACCUGUCAGACACGGAGAUCCAGCGCGAGAUCGGCAUCAGCAACCCGCUGCACCGACUCAAGCUACGCCUCGCCAUCCAGGAGAUGGUCUCGCUCACCUCGCCCUCAGCCCCCGCCUCCUCCCGCACUUCCACAGGAAACGUGUGGAUGACACACGAGGAGAUGGAGUCCCUUACGGCCACGACCAAGCCCGAGACCAAGGAGAUCAGCUGGGAGCAGAUCCUGGCAUAUGGCGACAUGAACCACGAGUGGGUGGGGAACGACUGGCUGCCCAGCCUGGGGCUGCCCCAAUACCGCAGCUACUUCAUGGAGUCGCUGGUGGACGCUCGAAUGUUAGAUCACCUUAACAAGAAGGAGCUCCGGGGCCAACUCAAGAUGGUGGACAGCUUUCACAGGGUGAGUCUACAUUAUGGGAUUAUGUGCCUGAAACGGCUCAACUAUGACCGGAAGGACCUGGAGCGGAGGCGGGAAGAAAGUCAGACCCAGAUCCGAGACGUGAUGGUGUGGUCCAAUGAGCGGGUCAUGGGUUGGGUGUCCGGGCUGGGCCUGAAGGAAUUUGCCACGAACCUCACGGAGAGCGGGGUACACGGGGCACUGCUCGCCCUGGACGAGACCUUCGACUACUCCGACCUGGCCUUGCUCCUGCAGAUCCCCACGCAGAAUGCACAGGCCCGGCAGCUUCUGGAGAAGGAAUUCAGCAACCUUAUCUCCUUAGGCACAGACAGGCGGCUGGACGAGGACAGCGCCAAGUCUUUCAGCCGCUCCCCAUCCUGGCGGAAGAUGUUCCGGGAGAAGGACCUCCGAGGCGUAACUCCCGACUCAGCUGAGAUGUUGCCCCCCAACUUUCGUUCGGCUGCAGCGGGAGCCCUGGGCUCUCCGGGGCUCCCUCUCCGCAAGCUGCAGCCAGAAGGUGGGGGGCUCCCAAAUGCGACAGCCCUUCCUCGCUUCCCUAGGGUGGGGCAUGGACCACCUCAGUAGUCCGGGUUCUGGAAUGGCCUAGUCCUUUCUCGCCCACCCCUGAGGAAUGGACUGCUCCAACGUUCCGGACUCCCCCGUCAGGAUGAAAUGGAUAAAUCCCACUCCCCCUUCCCAGGGCGGGAGUGAACUCGCCCAAUGCGAGUUUGAGUCCUUGGCUGCGGGGAAGGGAGGGAAACCCAUGUGGAGCCCGGCGAUCGUUGUGACAUCGGGAAGGGAAGUCCAAAGGGAGGAAUCCUGGAGAGGAACAGGGAGGAGGGUGCUCCAGGCUGAACCGCUGCUCGCUCUCCCUCCAGGCCAGACUUCUGGGAGUUCCCGGGCAGACGGCGUUUCGGUCCGGACCUAUUCCUGCUAGUGCAGGCCUCCAGGUGACCUCACUCGGACGGAAGAAUCUUCCCGAGGCUGGGCUGUUCCCUCUCCUGCCCGGACUGUGGCCUCGCCGGGGAGAGCGGGCGGGGGAGCUCGCGCCGAGGACUGGACCAUCUGUACAGACCAGCGGGAGUGCGCGCGCCCGCCUCGCACAGGGCCGGGGCCUGGACCAAACCACAUGAACUGGACUGAGAGGGGGAAGAAGCGGGGAGGAAGAAAUCCCGCCCCAAACGUCCGCUUUCCUUUUCUCUACUUUGUAAUUUAUUGAUCAGUUUCUGUUGGGAGACGGGUGUCCUUUACCCGCGGGAAGGGGGCGGGGCUUCCCUCCCGGGCCGCAUGCGGGGAGAGGCUGCUCCCUCCCCUUUUUCCUGCCCAGUCGCGGGGCCCAAGUCUUCCUUCUUCGUCCGAAAGGAGGGGAGGGGGGACUCGCUGCUACAAGCCUCGCCCCCUGUGCCACUCAGCUCCGCCCCGCCGCGUCCGGUCGCCGGUCCCCCGGGUCAUCUGCGGGCGGGUUCCCCUCUCCCUCCCCCGUGUCUCGUGUCCCCGGGGCCUCACCGCCCCCCGUGCUGUGGCCGUGUCCGUGCCCCGGGGGUAGGGGGCGCAGAAUGGCGCUUCCCCUUCUCCUCUGGCUCCGGGGUUUGCAUGGGAGAAUCCUCUUUCCACGAUGCCGCUGGGCGACGUGGCGUGGGGGCAGGGGGACGGUGGGGGAGCCCUCGCCCCCGACUCUCGGUCGGCCUCCCCGCCCCAGGCGUCACUCAGUGAUCACGGGUAAAGAGAACUGUUUCAAAAA
Homo sapiens (human) is the source of this 4944-nucleotide RNA transcript. It is a transcript of the gene named PPFI scaffold protein A3, with no coding region annotated. NCBI's taxonomy places the organism in Eukaryota, Metazoa, Chordata, Mammalia, Primates, Hominidae. The record is from RefSeq and is marked reviewed. The transcript is spliced from 29 exons.